GGGGAAUAUUGGGCAAUGGGCGAAAGCCUGACCCAGCAACGCCGCGUGAGGGAGGAAGGUUUUCGGAUUGUAAACCUCUGUCCUUAGGGAAGAAGGAAGUGACGGUACCUAAGGAGGAAGCCCCGGCUAAAUACGUGCCAGCAGCCGCGGUAAUACGUAUGGAGCAAGCGUUAUCCGGAUUUACUGGGUGUAAAGGGAGUGUAGGCGGCUUUGCAAGUCAGAUGUGAAAGCCCGGGGCUCAACCCCGGGACUGCAUUUGAAACUGUGAAGCUGGAGUGUCGGAGAGGUAAGUGGAAUUCCUAGUGUAGCGGUGAAAUGCGUAGAUAUUAGGAAGAACACCAGUGGCGAAGGCGGCUUACUGGACGAUUACUGACGCUGAGGCUCGAAAGCGUGGGGAGCAAACAGGAUUAGAUACCCUGGUA
Molecule: ribosomal RNA, 422 nt
Filed under: uncultured Lachnospiraceae bacterium
Lineage: Bacteria; Bacillati; Bacillota; Clostridia; Lachnospirales; Lachnospiraceae
Description: bacterial SSU rRNA
Rfam family: Bacterial small subunit ribosomal RNA
Source: RNAcentral